GCCUUGGUGGCGGAAUUGGUAGACGCGCUGGAUUCAAAAUCCAGUUCUUCGGAGUGCGGGUUCGAUUCCCGCCCAAGGUA
Molecule: transfer RNA, 80 nt
Filed under: Flavobacteriaceae bacterium MAR_2010_188
Lineage: Bacteria; Pseudomonadati; Bacteroidota; Flavobacteriia; Flavobacteriales; Flavobacteriaceae
Rfam family: tRNA
About the family: Transfer RNA (tRNA) molecules are approximately 80 nucleotides in length. Their secondary structure includes four short double-helical elements and three loops (D, anti-codon, and T loops). Further hydrogen bonds mediate the characteristic L-shaped molecular structure. tRNAs have two regions of fundamental functional importance: the anti-codon, which is responsible for specific mRNA codon recognition, and the 3' end, to which the tRNAs corresponding amino acid is attached (by aminoacyl-tRNA synthetases). tRNAs cope with the degeneracy of the genetic code in two manners: having more than one tRNA (with a specific anti-codon) for a particular amino acid; and 'wobble' base-pairing, i.e. permitting non-standard base-pairing at the 3rd anti-codon position.
Source: Rfam by way of RNAcentral